AAUCUUUGAAACGUGCUCGGUAUACUUUUUUCCAAGAUCAGUCCCACAUUCUUUAUCAAUGUGAUAAAUC
This 70-nucleotide ribosomal RNA is filed under the name Acinetobacter baumannii 348935. Its description in RNAcentral is "partial 16S ribosomal RNA". Lineage: Bacteria; Pseudomonadati; Pseudomonadota; Gammaproteobacteria; Moraxellales; Moraxellaceae. The record is from RNAcentral.